GCAAGCAGUCAGAGUGUACUUGGAGAGCUUCGUUAGAUCUGGUGGAGAGGAAGUCUAGGGUUUCCAAGAGGGCUAAGGCUUCCGCUUGUUCCACCGAAGAUGCAACAACCAUCUCGGAGAAUCCAUCGAUCAGGCGGCCCCAAGAAUAUCGGCAAAUACAAGCAAUGGCGCCCUAUUCUCGCCGCUCGUCUGUUCUCCUCCCGGAUCUGGUGUUGCCUUGUUCUCGGCCGCACCUUCGUUCUCCUCCGGAUCUGGUGUUGCCCUGUUCUCGGCCACACCUCCGUUCACCGCUAGAUCUGGUGUUGCGCCCUCAUUCCGAGCGCCCGUUCUCGGUCGCUUCAUUCUCCUCCGGAUCAAGUGUUGCCCUGUUCUCGACCACUCCACUAUUCUCCUCCAGAUCUGUAGCGCCUUUAUUCCAGACAAAGGAGGUGUCGAUGUUGAUUUUCAACGAGUCCGAGGUCGGGGGUUUCCAUUGUUGCGUGGUUUGAUGCGGAUGCAGGGGGUGGUGUUCGAAGAUAAACCAGUUCCGAUCUUUUCAAAUACACCACACAGUAGUGGCGAUUAGGUCGAAGGUCUAGCUCUCCAUAUCUGAACUGUCCAAGGGCAGAGUAAUAAAGCAUGUUCAAUAGUUUCGGCUUCCUUUUUGCAGAUUGGCCAUAGCGGAUCAGGUACAAUUCUUCUCCUAUGCAAGUUGUCCACUGUGGGUAGUGCAUUAUGGCAAGCAUUCCAGAAAAACUGUUUAACUCUAGGUAGAGUUUUAGAUUUCCAAAUAAAUUUCCAGAGAUCUGGCUUUGUUUGGUGAGAGGAAGAUGCUAUUGUGGUUUGUGGGUUUGCUGCUUGAUUUCUAGUGGUAAAAUAGCCGCUUUUCACUGAAUAGACCCCUGAUUUGUUGUUUAUCCACAUCAUUUUAUCUACUGUAGAAGGUAAUCCAAUAGGGGUUGCAAGGAUUUCCUUAACUCUUUGGUCGUCGAACAACGACCUUACCAUUGCCUCGUUCCAUUUGCCAUCCCUUUGUUCUAUUAAUGCACCCACUUUCUCUGGCUCAUUCAUUGUCACUGGCCCACCAAUAGGGCCACUUUUUAACCAUUUGUCUUCUCUAACCGAAAUAGUCUAUCGAUUUCCAAUAGCCCACAUAACUUGAGGCGCUAUCGAGUCUCUCCCCAAGUCAAUGUUUUGCCAUCCCCACAAAGGUCUGGAACCUUUUCCAGCUUUCCAAAAAUCACAUAGUGGAUAGUAAAGUCCCUUCAUUAGUUGACUUAGAAGGAAGUAGGUUGCUGAGAAAUGCGCCAUGCUUGCUUUCCUAACAUUGCCUUGUUGAAAGCUAGGAAGUCUUUAAAGCCGAGCCCUCCUUCAUCCUUUCUAAGUUUCAAUUUAUCCCAUUUUUUUCCAGUGAAUCUCAGCAGCUUUGUUACCAUUCCUCCACCAAAAAUUUGCAAUUUUCUUUUCAAUAGCUUUGCAUAUUGAUGCAUGGAUUUUGAAAAUGGACAUUGCAUAUUGCGGAAUAGCUUGCACCACUGAUUUGAUCAAUAUCUCAUUGCAUGUUUUUGACAGCAAGUUGUCAUUCCAACUCUCCAGCUUCAUAUUAACUUAGGCAAGAAUCCAAGCAAAGAUGUCUUUUUUCUAGCCUCCUCAAUCCGAGGGAAUACAUAAGUACUUCCUUGUCUUUUCUAUUUCUUGAACUCUUAGCUAUUGCAUAUUGCGGAAUAGCAUGCACCACUGAUUUGAUCGAUAUCUCAUUGCCUGUUUUUUACAGCAAGUUGUCCUUCCAACUCUCCAGCUUCAUAUUAACUUUGGCAAGAAUCCAAGCAAAGAUGUCUUUUUUUUAGCCUCCCCAAUCCGAGGGAAUACCUAAGUACUUCCCUGUCUUUUCUAUUUCUUGAACUCUUAGCUCUUCAGCCAUAUUUCUUCUGAGAUUCGUUGGACAGCUCUUGCUGAAGUAGAUUCCUGAUUUGUUAAGAUUAAUAGCCUGUCUUGUUGUGAAACAAUAUUGAUGUAGAAUAGCUGCCAAAUUCUGACA
Molecule: RNA transcript, 2017 nt
Organism: Eucalyptus grandis
Lineage: Eukaryota; Viridiplantae; Streptophyta; Magnoliopsida; Myrtales; Myrtaceae
Exons: 3
Source: RefSeq, a predicted model, not a curated record